RNAcentral lists this ribosomal RNA (404 nucleotides) under uncultured bacterium. Its description in RNAcentral is "partial 16S ribosomal RNA". It matches the Rfam family "Bacterial small subunit ribosomal RNA", at positions 30 to 526 of the family's 1533-position model. The record is from RNAcentral.
AUUGAACGCUGGCGGCAGGCCUAACACAUGCAAGUCGAGCGAGCGGCGGACGGGUGAGUAAUGCCUGGGAAUUGCCCAGUCGAGGGGGAUAACAGUUGGAAACGACUGCUAAUACCUCAUCCAGUUGGAUUGCCCAGGUGGGAUUAGCUAGUUGGUGAGGUAAUCGCGCACCAAGGCGACGAUCCCUAGCUGGUCUGAGAGGAGGAUCAGCCCAACGGGAACUGAUGCACGGUCCAGACUCCUACGGGAGGCAGCAGUGGGGAAUAUUGCACAAUGGGGGCAACCCUGAUGCAGCCAUGCCGCGUGUGUGAAGAAGGCCUUCGGGUUGUAAAGCACUUUCAGCGAGGAGGCGUUACUCGCAGAAGAAGCACCGGCUAACUCCGGGCCAGCAGGCGCGGUAAUAC